GCCGGGCAUGGUGGUGCAUGCCUGUAAUCCCAGCUACUCGGGAGGCUAAGGUAGGAGAAUCGCUUGAACCCGGGAGGCGGAGGUUGCAGUGAGCCAAGAUCAUGCCACUGCACUCCAGCCUGGGUGACAGAGCGAGACUCCAUCUCAA
Macaca fascicularis (crab-eating macaque) is the source of this 148-nucleotide unclassified non-coding RNA. It matches the Rfam family "Metazoan signal recognition particle RNA". From Rfam's summary of the family: The signal recognition particle (SRP) is a universally conserved ribonucleoprotein. The record is from Ensembl. NCBI's taxonomy places the organism in Eukaryota, Metazoa, Chordata, Mammalia, Primates, Cercopithecidae.